GUCUACGGCCAUGCCACCCUGAACAAGCCCAAUCCCGUCUGAUCUCGGAAGCUAAGCAGGGUUGGGCCUGGUUAGUACUUGGAUGAGAGACCAUCUAGGAAGAUCAGGUGCUGUAGGCA
RNAcentral lists this ribosomal RNA (119 nucleotides) under Pteropus alecto (black flying fox). The record is from RNAcentral. Lineage: Eukaryota; Metazoa; Chordata; Mammalia; Chiroptera; Pteropodidae.